Molecule: ribosomal RNA, 298 nt
Filed under: uncultured eukaryote
Lineage: Eukaryota
Description: partial 18S ribosomal RNA
Rfam family: Eukaryotic small subunit ribosomal RNA
Source: RNAcentral
CCCUUAGACACUCUAGGCGGCACGCGCGCUACAAUGGGUGGAAGAACGUGUUACUGCCUCCGAAAGGAGGGGUGGAUCACGAAUUCUUGCCCGUGAAUGGGAUAGUUUGUUGCAAUUUUCGGACUUGAACUAGGAAUCCCUUGUAAACAUGCUCAAGAAUAGCGUGUUGAAUACGUCCCUGCCGUUUGUACACACCGCCCGUCGUUUCUUCCGACUGAUACUCAUUGUGAGUUGCAAGGACCCUUUAUUGGGAAAUUGCUGCAAAUGCUUUGUAUUGGAGGAAGAAAAAGUCGUAACA